AUGCCGACGGUGAAUAUCGUCGAGGUCGGCCACGUGGUCGUGCCACCACCGGAGGACUUGGUAGUCAGGCUAUCCGCGCUGGACGCGCCGUGGGUCGCGAUCCCGCUAAUCCAGCGCGUGCUCCUCUUCGUCGAUGGCGCCGGUGUCCAGCAGCACCCGCCAUUCGAGUCGCUCGUGGGCUCCCUCCGUGCGUCCCUCGCGGCCACGCUCGCGCGGCUCCCCCCGCUCGCCGGGAGGGUCGUCUUCCUGCCGUCCACCGGCGACGCGGCCAUCGACUGCUCCGGCCCCGAGGGAGGCGGCGUGCGGUUCGUCGUCGCAGAGAGCGACGACGCGGACGCGCGGCGGCUCGCGGGGGAUGCGGACCACGAAGUGGACACGUUGGAGGCGCUCGUCCCGGAGCUCAAGGCGGAGGCGCUCCCCGCGGAGGUGCUGGCCGUGCAGGUCACGCGGCUCAAGGGCGGGGUGGCGCUCGGCGUGGCACUGCACCAUGCCGUGGUCGACGGCCGGUCAGUGUGGAUGUUCCUGCAGGCGUGGGCCGCGGCCUGCCGCGGCGACGCUACUGCCGUGGCUGACAUGACGUUCGACCGCGCGGUGGUGGCCCUCCCCGGCGUCGGCGAGGAGCUCGCGAGGAGCACGCUGCGCAAGUACGCGCCCAAUCUGCCGCUGGAUGCCAACAUGUCCCUAGCACCCCAAUUAAACUCCCUCGUCAGACAUUCACCGUCACCGCGAAGCAAAUCCACCACCUGA
RNAcentral lists this ribosomal RNA (747 nucleotides) under Triticum aestivum (bread wheat). RNAcentral describes it as "partial small subunit ribosomal RNA". Lineage: Eukaryota; Viridiplantae; Streptophyta; Magnoliopsida; Poales; Poaceae. The record is from RNAcentral.